AGUAUCAACCAAGAAGGAAUCAAAUAUUACAACAACCUCAUCAAUGAGCUACUCGAUAAUGGUCUAGUACCAUUUGUAACCCUUUUCCAUUGGGAUCUUCCCCAAGCCUUACAAGACGAGUACGAAGGUUUCUUGAGCCCCAAUAUCAUAAAUGAUUUUCAGGACUAU
Molecule: long non-coding RNA, 168 nt
Organism: Lathyrus oleraceus (garden pea)
Lineage: Eukaryota; Viridiplantae; Streptophyta; Magnoliopsida; Fabales; Fabaceae
Exons: 3
Source: RefSeq, a predicted model, not a curated record